AAAACCUUCAAAAACACCCAACUAAAACUGUAGUUGAAAAAUCAAAGUACCCGAACACAAAAUUCAAGUAAAAAUCACGUUCCAAGCAAAAGACGCUAACGUGGCCGAAAUAUAGGAAACAAAAGCCACAACAGGGAGACGAUGCAUCGAUAUGGACUCACAGACCGAAAGGGGAAAAGUGAAGUGAAGUGAUUUCUAUGGCCACACACAUGUGUGUGUUGCAAAACCAUACAAAAAAAAUCACUUAAAGUUGGGCCAACGUUUCCGCUGAGGCCAGACCACUGAACUGGACAAACGUUCCUGUGAAAACUGCAGACAUGGCAUCAAAUAAAACAUGGGGACCAACGGAGGAGGAGAAUACAGUCGGGAUCUGUAAAUCCAACCCAGAGGACGACGAUGGUCCGCUGAAAUUUUCGCCUGCGAAAAAAGCUAAAUAAAUAAAUAUCACCAGCAGGGGGAGUGGAUAAUAAAUAGAUUUGUGCUGUGAAUAAACUCAUGGAUACGUAGCAUAUGUCGGCGAUAGAGGGGAAAGCGUGAAAAGUGUACUCAAUGAAAAUAGCCAUCAGCAAUGUGCUUGUCUUGUAAAUAUGUCUUCUUAACAAAGAUACAAUUAUGCAACUUUCAAUAAAUGGAAUAAAAAGCUUGAGGACAGAA
Molecule: long non-coding RNA, 654 nt
Organism: Drosophila santomea
Lineage: Eukaryota; Metazoa; Arthropoda; Insecta; Diptera; Drosophilidae
Exons: 2
Source: RefSeq, a predicted model, not a curated record